CAUUGCCAACCUCCUCGCAUUCGCCAUCGCGUCGCCAGUGGUCACGGUGACCGUUUCAUCGAUGACCGAGGUGUCCAAGACCUCAGGCAAUAGUCCUGGUCCUAUUCCCUGGAUUUCAUGCUUGCCUGGCUCCCCACCUGAAUAAAGUCCAACGGAAGUGUCAUUGUUUCUGAAGCACUAUUUUGUUGUUGUUCCAGUGAUUUUAGUUAGAGUACUCGCACACAAUCUGAAGCAAAUGUGGAGCCAAUUAUCUGGACCACAGAUUUGAAUCAAGGAGAUUCUACGAAGCAAGAUUUUUUGUUUGUACUUAUCUGCUACUCCCUCCGAUCCUAAACUGUUGUCGAAAUAUUACAUGUAUCUAGACGCUUUUAAAAAAUAGAUAUAUCCAUAUUUGGACAAAUUUGAGUCAAGAAUUUAGUAUCAGAAGGAGUAGCUAACAAAUGAAUGCAAUCCUUUUCCGAUGAAAGGGAAACAUUUUCUAAAAAAAUAUGGCUAGUGAAACUAAUCAGCUGACAAGCAACCGACCACCGUGGUGGGAAAAGUAGUGAUCCAUUUUAUAGAAAAUAUUAGAUGCCAAAUCAUUUUGCACAUUCCCUACAAAAAUAUUCCAAAAGGUAUCAUUUCACACAAUAAUCUGUUAAUAUAAUUUCAUGGAGCAUAGAAGCACUGAAAUUACUUAGCUGGCCCUAUACAGCGAUUGCUAAUUGCAAGGGCCAUGGAGUAAUGUAUUUACAAGAAAGGGAAAAAAGGAAAAGGCCAGGUCUCCAAAACAACAGCACCGGAGACAGGGACUACCUCUCUCGUGCUUAAAUUUAACGACGUCUGAUUUUCGUGCUUGAGUUUAAGAGAUGACAAUUUACCUGAAAUGACUGCACUCUCUGUAGGCUCUACACAAAUGAUCCUCACAUUUGGAUUUUGCAUCUUCAGAUACUUCCCAACACCAGAUACCGUACCUCCUGACCCUGAACCUGCGACAAAUAUGUCCACCUUGCCAGCAGUAUCCUUCCAAAUCUCAGGUCCUGAAAUUUUCAAUAAUAGGUCAAUAAGGAUGCACUCUUCUCUUCUGAACAUAAAGUGUCAACUCACUUUGAGACAGUACCAGUCCAUCUAACGUGUGCGUCAGGAUUUGCUGGAUUCACAAACUGAUAAAGAACAUGAACGUUGGGUAAUUCCUUCUUGAGUUGUUCGACCUUGUCGACCAUUCCCGGAUAGCCGAGUGCUGGAUCUGCCAUUUGAUCACACCAAAAAAUCAAGAUCACAAAUACAGAUCACACAGAUUGGCCAGUGUAAACUAUUCAAAAAAAAAAAGACCGGCCAGUGUAAACAACACUGUGCAAGGAAAACUAGACUUAAAAGAGAGGAUGUAAGAUUUUAUUGUUCUUCAGACAAAGGAAGCAACUAAAGGAAAACUAUCUAUCUUUACCGGUUAUGAACAACUGCAUAUCUUCUGCCAUUACCCGUUAUGAACAACUCAGCACCCAUGUAUCUCAACAAGAUCUGCUUAUCAAGCGAGUACUGGCCCGGCAUCACCGCGACGAACCUGUAUUCUUUGCGCAGAGCAAUGAGGACCAACCCUAGCCCCAGAUUACCGCCCGUCGGCUCAACUAGAGUCGUUACACCAGGCGAAAUCAGCCCUUUCUCUUCGGCGUCUUCGAUCAUCCUGUAGAAGGAAAAUAAAGUUUAACACUUGCCAUAAGUUUUGGCUUGCCAUAGGAAAUGGAUUCUGCCAGGUGCAAGAAUAUAUAGUAGUACUUGACUGCCAUCUUAAAUUUAUGCUACCACCAUCAGUGACUAGCUGAUCGACUAGCACAGACAAAACUAGCACUUGUUCAACCAUCAUCAGUUCCAACAAACAACAGAGCUGGUGGCUUGGUCAGCUAUAGAAUCUACUUCACCUUUUCAACUAGCACAGACAAGACUAGCUCUCUAAUCUAACCCCAAGUUCUGUUAGCAGAAUCGAGCCUGAUUAAAAACAAGUUUUCCGAGAGAUUAACUAAAACAAGUUAAUAGCAGUACUACCUCAAAGCGCUGCGAUCCUUGACGGAGCAAAGCGGCUGGUAGGCCUCCAUCUUCCCGACAAUCCGGGCAUCCAAGCCGUCCUUUCCAGCGAUCCGCUUCAGCUCGAUGAGCGGCGUCCACCCUAUCAGCUGAAAAAAUAUAUAUCAGCCACCUGUAACCAGGCCUUCAAAUCAUGGCUGACAGACAGGAAAGGGGAUUGAAACGUAUAAAAGGGGUAUUUUUAUUUUGCCUGGGUGGCGUCGGAGGCGAUGUGUUCCUGCCCGAUUGCGCCGUCGCUGAGCAGGGAAGGAAGCCCUCUCCUCGCAGUCCCCUCCUUGCCUGGCGGCGGCGCCAGGAUGCCGCUGCAGUGCUGCUUGGUCGACGGGCGCUUCCCUGCUUCUUGGCUUCUCAAGGGGUGAGGAUAAGGAGACAGGGGCAGCUGCGCAGCGACGACCGACGACUGUGCCCUGCAAAUUGGGACUUGUUUCCCCCUUGAGGUCGUUGCAUUGCAGCAGGCCAUGGCUGUCAAUUUAAGGAUCUUUUUGCCGCCGUCGGUUUCCCCCUUGAGGUCGUUGCAGGCUUUUGCUGCUGCGCUCCUCCGUGACGAGACGUGUUCAUCAUUUUCUAAGAUCAAUGAUAAUAUCAUGAGUAGCUGGUAAUCUAUAACCAGUUUAAUAUCCAACAUAAUAAAAUAGUUACUUAUAAACAUGUACUAGUACUUUGUACUUUGUAAAUGUUUGGUCUCACAUUCCAAUCUCAUAGAGUUUUCAUGAGCUCAUGCCGCAGCUGACUAUUAACUUAUACUCGCACAUAUAAUUUACAAAGUGAGUAGUUUGGUCUCGCAAGGUUUGUUCGUCGACACGGCGAGGUGGGUCAGGUAUAUCCUUAUGUGGUUGCUCUUCCUUGUCGUCUUGAGAUCAACAACUCCUUCUCUCGAGUGAGCGUCUCUAUCUGUCGACGGUGUGGUGUCCUCGAACCAGGACAAGGGGGUAGACGCUCUGUCUCCUUGUUGAUGAAAGAUGGCAUCAAUGUCUUCAAUCGUCGUGUUUUUAGUUUUUGAGCUUUUUUAUAGUACCCCGAAAUCGGCUUAGAAUGUCAAUUUUCUUUGAUCUAAGAGCUCAGAUUAGUUGGUACUCCUUGAUACUUCGAUUUAGAUGUGUGGAUUAUCAUCGAAGCACAAGACACAUUUCUCUCCUUCUCUCUGCCGAUCCCAAAAGUAACACGUUAGUUCUUAUUUGUUGCCGAUGUGGCAUUUUAAUUUCUUCGAAAAGGAGGGCAAUCCGCUGGUCUCUGUAUCGAUCGAUGAACACAUCCAUCAUUCAACAUACAUGUCUAAAAAAUACAAUAAAAGUAAGACAAGCAGGACACAAUCACGUGUCCUCCGGUCUAAGAUAUGCGUGUCGCCCAAACCGGCUGAACAACUUUCGUGCUACCUUCUCUAGUUGGUUACACCGAGAUUCCAAGCAAGAUCAAUAGGUCAUGGCAAGGCACUCCUCUCUUACAGCGGCAAAGAGGUCCGAAUUCAUGUAUCUCUCGCCCCCGCUCGGGAACAUGGUGACAAUCAUCUUCCCCUUGUUCUCUUCUCUCGCCGCAACCUAAAGAUGCAUUUGGUUGGUUCCAAGGGUUAGUCAAGACCAGAGAGAGAAAUGUAACAUAACUCAAAUAAAGUUACUAUAUUGCCCUUUGCUUACUAUCAUUCAAAUGCAAAAUUAUCUUCUUGUCGAACCAGGUUUCCACAUUUUCCAUUACCAUAACGGAAACAACAAGUACAGCAAAAUGAGAACAAAGUCAAUUAGCUAGGGGAUGUGUGGACCUUUAGGCAAGCUGCGAAGUUUGCCCCAGAAGAUAUGCCCACAAGCAGGCCCUCUUCCAUUGCCAACCUCCUCGCGUUCGCCAUCGCCUCAUCUGUGGUCACGGUGACCGUCUCAUCGAUGACCGAGGUGUUCAAGACCUCAGGCAAGAACCCUGGUCCUAUUCCCUGGAUUUUAUGCUUGCCUGACUCCCCUCCUGAAUAAAUGCCAACAAAGUGUCAUUGUUUCAGUUUACAAAAGAAAAGUGUCAUUGUUUCCGAAGCAGUACUAUUUUGUUGUUGCUCUAGUGAUUUUAGUAUCUGGCACCACACAAUCUGAAGCAAAUGCGGAGCCACAUAGUUAUCUGGAGGCUGGACCACAAAAUUUCAAUCAUGAAGAUUUGACGAAGCACGAUUUGUUGGUACUUAUGUGCUACGUAACAAAUGAAUGCAAUCCUUUUCAGAUGAAAGCGAAACAUUUUUCUAUAAAAACAUGACCAAAGAAACUAAUCGGCUGACAAGCAAACGACAAGCAGAGUUACAACUCUGUGGUGGAAAAAAAGUACUCCAUUUUGCAUAUUCUCUACAAA
This 4377-nucleotide long non-coding RNA is filed under the name Brachypodium distachyon (stiff brome). Its description in RNAcentral is "long non-coding RNA (BDIS_LNC000996)". Lineage: Eukaryota; Viridiplantae; Streptophyta; Magnoliopsida; Poales; Poaceae. The record is from RNAcentral.